UACGUAGGGGGCUAGCGUUGUCCGGAAUCAUUGGGCGUAAAGAGCGUGUAGGCGGUCCGGUAAGUCCGCUGUGAAAGUCGGGGGCUCAACCCUCGAAUGCCGGUGGACACUGUCGGGCUAGAGUACGGAAGAGGCGAGUGGAAUUCCUGGUGUAGCGGUGAAAUGCGCAGAUAUCAGGAGGAACACCUAUUGCGAAGGCAGCUCGCUGGGACGUAACUGACGCUGAGACGCGAAAGCGUGGGGAGCAAACAGG
Molecule: ribosomal RNA, 253 nt
Filed under: uncultured bacterium
Lineage: Bacteria
Description: partial 16S ribosomal RNA
Rfam family: Bacterial small subunit ribosomal RNA
Source: RNAcentral